GACGAACGCUGGCGGCGUGCUUAACACAUGCAAGUCGAGCGGUAAGGCCCUUUCGGGGGUACACGAGCGGCGAACGGGUGAGUAACACGUGGGUGACCUGCCCUUAGCUCUGGGAUAAGCCUGGGAAACUGGGUCUAAUACCGGAUAUGACUCCAUAACGCAUGUUGUGGGGUGGAAAGCCUUGUGCGGCUAGGGAUGGGCCCGCGGCCUAUCAGCUUGUUGGUGGGGUGAUGGGCCACCAAGGCGACGACGGGUAGCCGGCCUGAGAGGGCGACCGGCCACACUGGGACUGAGACACGGCCCAGACUCCUACGGGAGGCAGCAGUGGGGAAUCUUGCGCAAUGGGCGAAAGCCUGACGCAGCGACGCCGCGUGGGGAUGACGGCCCUCGGGUUGUAAACCUCUUUCAGCCCUGACGAAGCGAAAGUGACGGUAGGGCAGAAGAAGCACCGGCCAACUACGUGCCAGCAGCCGCCGUAAG
This 480-nucleotide ribosomal RNA is filed under the name uncultured bacterium. RNAcentral's name for it is "bacterial SSU rRNA". It matches the Rfam family "Bacterial small subunit ribosomal RNA", at positions 28 to 524 of the family's 1533-position model. The record is from RNAcentral.